GUGCUAGCCUAGUCUCGUGGUUACUUCGCUGAAAUGGUUUCAAUAAUGUCUGUUAAACAUUACUUUGUGGGUUCAAAUCCCACUGUCACCACUGACGCCAUCUGGCACUUUU
Non-coding RNA from Lingula anatina, 112 nucleotides. The record is from Rfam. NCBI's taxonomy places the organism in Eukaryota, Metazoa, Brachiopoda, Lingulata, Lingulida, Lingulidae.